RNAcentral lists this ribosomal RNA (515 nucleotides) under uncultured bacterium. RNAcentral describes it as "partial 16S ribosomal RNA". It matches the Rfam family "Bacterial small subunit ribosomal RNA", at positions 28 to 523 of the family's 1533-position model. The record is from RNAcentral.
GAUGAACGCUGGCGGCGUGCCUAAUACAUGCAAGUCGAGCGAAUGGAUUAAGAGCUUGCUCUUAUGAAGUUAGCGGCGGACGGGUGAGUAACACGUGGGUAACCUGCCCAUAAGACUGGGAUAACUCCGGGAAACCGGGGCUAAUACCGGAUAACAUUUUGAACCGCAUGGUUCGAAAUUGAAAGGCGGCUUCGGCUGUCACUUAUGGAUGGACCCGGGUCGCAUUAGCUAGUUGGUGAGGUAACGGCUCACCAAGGCAACGAUGCGUAGCCGGCCUGCGAGGGUGAUCGGCCACACUGGGACUGAGACACGGCCAAGCCGCCUACGGGAGGCAGCAGUAGGGAAUCUUCCGCAAUGGACGAAAGUCUGACGGAGCAACGCCGCGUGAGUGAUGAAGGCUUUCGGGUCGUAAAACUCUGUUGUUAGGGAAGAACAAGUGCUAGUUGAAUAAGCUGGCACCUUGACGGUACCUAACCAGAAAGCCACGGCUAACUACGUGCCAGCCGCCGCCGUAA